ACGAACGCUGGCGGCGUGCUUAACACAUGCAAGUCGAACGUUGAAGCGCCUUCCUUUUUGGUGGGUGUGGAUGAUUGGUGAACGGGUGAGUAACACGUGAGUAACCUGCCCCCUUCUUUUGGAUAACCGCUUGAAAGUGUGUCUAAUACGGGAUAUUCUGCGUCUGUCUCAUGAUGGGUCUGGGAAAGAUAUUGUUUAGGUGGGGGAUGGGCUCGCGUCCUUUCAGCUUGUUGGUGGGUUGAUGGGUUACCAAGGCGGUGACGGUUGGCCGGUCUGAGAGGGUGGACGGGCACACUGGUACUGAAACACGGGCCAGACGCGUACGUGAGGCAGAUGUGGGUAAUAUUGCAAAAUGGGCGCAAGACAGAUGCAGCGACGCUGCGUGAGAGAUGGAGGACGUCGGGUUGUGAACCACUUUCGACAGUGAAGCAGGCAUGCCUCGUUUGUGUGUGGGUUGACGGGAGCUUGAUAAGAAGCGCCAGCUAACUACGUG
RNAcentral lists this ribosomal RNA (493 nucleotides) under uncultured bacterium. Its description in RNAcentral is "partial 16S ribosomal RNA". It matches the Rfam family "Bacterial small subunit ribosomal RNA", at positions 29 to 507 of the family's 1533-position model. The record is from RNAcentral.